UGGUCGAAUACUCCAGAGAAGACAGGAGCUCCCUAUAUCAAACCCUAACUAGCUCAAAAUUGACAAAUUGAAAGGGGAAAUCUAACCCAAAUCGAAAUCCAAGUACAAAUUCGUGAUCACCUCGGUGAAGGGAUCAUAAGUUUGACACUUAACGAGCAAGGUGGAGGCUUGGGAAGAAACGGGUCAAACGAAUCAAGAAGGAAAAGAAAAGCUUAGCUCGGAUACGAGGGGGAAUGGCAAAAAACCAUAAGUUAUGGUAAAGAUGCUCUUUAGACCCCGGAGGAUGAUCAAGCCAUGUCAAGAACCGAACACACCGAACAAAGCUUCCGCAUUUUGUCUAUUUUGUUUUAUGACAUGUAAACACUUGAAAUUAUGUUUUGAAAGUUUAUCUAGCAUGAUGUAGGCUUGAAUGUUAUGAUCAAGUAUGAUCUUAAA
RNAcentral lists this long non-coding RNA (435 nucleotides) under Helianthus annuus (common sunflower). The record is from RNAcentral. Lineage: Eukaryota; Viridiplantae; Streptophyta; Magnoliopsida; Asterales; Asteraceae.